AACGAACGCUGGCGGCAUGCCUAACACAUGCAAGUCGAACGAGAGCUUCGGGUCUAGUCGUGCACGGGUGCGUAACGCGUGGGAACCUGCCCUUAGGUUCGGAAUAACUCCCCGAAUGGGGUGCUAAUACCGGAUCAUGUCUUCGGACCAAAGAUUUGUCGCCUUUGGAUGGUCCUGCGUUGCAUUAGCUAGUUGUUAGGGUAAAAGCCUACGAAGGCGACGAUCCAUAGCUGGGCAGAGAGGAUGCUCAGCCACACUGGGGGUGAGACACGGCCCAGACUCCUGGAGGAGGGAGCAGUGGGGAAUAUUGGACAAUGGGCGAAAGCAUGAUCCAGCUAGGCCUCGAGAGUGAUGAAGGCCUGAGGGUUGUAAAGCUCUUUUAUCCGGGAUGAUAAUGACAUUACCGGGAGAAUAAGCUCCGGCUAACUCCGUG
RNAcentral lists this ribosomal RNA (433 nucleotides) under uncultured bacterium. RNAcentral's name for it is "partial 16S ribosomal RNA". It matches the Rfam family "Bacterial small subunit ribosomal RNA", at positions 29 to 507 of the family's 1533-position model. The record is from RNAcentral.